Molecule: long non-coding RNA, 1061 nt
Organism: Sceloporus undulatus (fence lizard)
Lineage: Eukaryota; Metazoa; Chordata; Lepidosauria; Squamata; Phrynosomatidae
Exons: 2
Source: RefSeq, a predicted model, not a curated record
UAGUAGUUUUGCUGAUAGUUGCCCACCUCUUCCUACAUAAUUACUGAUUUCCAUUGGAUUGUGGGGUGUGCUUUUUUUGUGACCUUAUUUUUGACAUAUCUUUUCAAUCCGUGGGGGAUUAUUUGAUGAUUCUCCUUUGUUAGUCCUUUCUCUCUCAUUUCCUUAGAGUUCUGAUUAAAGGGAAAAUGUGGAGGUUUCAUUGGGAAUGGGGGCAGAUUGGUUCCUAUGUGUAGCCAACAGCUUUCAGUCUUACUGAGGACAGAAAGCCAUCCCACACAGAUCAAUAUUUUAAUGUGACUUAUCAGACUGGCUUGUUUACUUAAAAACUCCAGAUCCCAUAAAGGCCAAGGGAGACUCAGUUUUGGAAACAGACUCUCUGAAACCCUGUCAUAGUACUGUAACUGUACAAGAAUGAAAACUUAAAGCUAAGACCAUCAGAAGCACAAUCUACUGUUUCGCACUUGAGAGAAAAACCAAAGGCAACAGAAAUUUAAAGAGCAAAUAACUACAAGACAAAAGAAACCAAGAGCAUGCUGCAGUUAUGUGGGAUGUGUGCCUCAAGACCAGUGACUGACUCUUCUGAGAGAUCCAUUCAGACCAAACGAGAAAGACAAGAUGAAUCUCUCAAUACAUUUUAAAUUUAUAUGUUGGAUACAGAUUGGCAUUAGUGCAUUCAAAUAAGCAAAACUCUCCUGAUUUAUUCUUCUCUGGCUCCUCUUGAAGGUAAUCUUUGCAUAAAAAGUGAUAUUUGCACCCAUUAUUUUUUAUGCCACUCAGUAAUAUACAAUAUUGGGAAAUUUACCUCAAAUUGAUUAGACUGGUCUUGCUGCUAUUGAUUAUGGUUCAAAUGAAACAACAUUUUCAGUGAUAGCACUGCAAUCCUUUCAAUAAAAUUCACACCAGUUCCCAUGUAAUACAUACAAAAACCAGUAAUCGUCUGAGAAAUGAUGAAGAUGGCCAAAAUUGUUCAAGAUAUCAGGUUGAAUGUCAGGUUUGGUCAAAAUUGUUUAAUAAAUAUUCAUUCUUGUUUAAUUGUUUAAUAAAUAUUCAUUCUUGUUUAA